GAAGGAAUUAUGUAUAUCAAAAGCUGCCUUAAAACCCAGAGAUUUCAGAUAAAUUCUUGCUCUACUGCAGAAGGGAGAAUGACCCUAUUUAACUCCUUUGGAAAGAAGGAGAGGCAGUGAUCUCUGUUAAAGAAUGAGGACAGAGCCAGCGUUAACCUCUAUGUCCCAGUGCAUCUUUCUGAUUUGGUGAUUGAGUGGAGCAGAGAGAGAGAGAAAUGGAUAGAACUGAGCAAGACCCAGUAUCAUUGUGAGACAUCAUUGGGAGUAAAAUAAAGACACUUGAAUUUGGACAGACAAGCAGCCCAGCCACCUUUCAGUGUGUCUGUGUCAGUAUCGGAAUGAAAUGAACAUGACCCCCUCCAGCAGGGAAGGAACACACAGUAAAGCCUUCACCUCAAAGAUCAGAUUCAGCAGACGGUAGAACUUGCUUUGAACCACCUUCUUCUUCUCCACAAUGCGGACAUCAGGAUUUGGUAAAAAGGGGUACUGUCCAUUUCCCCCAAAAAGACUUCGAAUAUUUGUGGUCCAGCAACUUAUAAAAGUAAGAACCCCUCCCCCCAUCUGAUCAUCCAUUCCUUUAUUACCUGGGGUCCUAAAGAUUUACUAAAACCGGCCAUAAAUUUAGGAAGAGCCCUACUCCACGGAACAAUUUUUUUUCUAGGAGCGAUCCCAAGGCUUCCAACAGUUCUGGAAAUGAAAAUAAGCUCUCUCCAAUAGAUUACAUACAUUUACCUAUUCCCAGUUCCAGGUAAGAGUCCAGGUUACUUACCAGGUGUGGCUGAGUUGGAGGACACAGGUGAAAAGAAAGAUGCACACAGAAGGCUUCGUAAGCAACAUAAUCCUCUGGAGUGAGAAGGAUAGAAAAUUCUAAAAACUUGGGAGACAGAGAGGUCCUUCUCUCUUUUGUCAUUCAGAAAGGGAGCUGCAGAGUCUAUGGAAGACCCAGAGUCAAGUCCUAGGAAACCAAGGCAUGAUGACUCAUGAAUUUCAAUC
Delphinapterus leucas (beluga whale) is the source of this 993-nucleotide non-coding RNA. The record is from RefSeq and is a predicted model, not a curated record. Lineage: Eukaryota; Metazoa; Chordata; Mammalia; Artiodactyla; Monodontidae.